CGAACGGUAACAGGAAGCAGCUUGCUGCUUCGCUGACGAGUGGCGGACGGGUGAGUAAUGUCUGGGAAGCUGCCUGAUGGAGGGGGAUAACUACUGGAAACGGUAGCUGAUACCGCAUAAUGUCGCAAGACCAAAGAGGGGGACCUUCGGGCCUCUUGCCAUCGGAUGUGCCCAGAUGGGAUUAGCUUGUUGGUGGGGUAACGGCUCACCAAGGCGACGAUCCCUAGCUGGUCUGAGAGGAUGACCAGCCACACUGGAACUGAGACACGGUCCAGACUCCUACGGGAGGCAGCAGUGGGGAAUAUUGCACAAUGGGCGCAAGCCUGAUGCAGCCAUGCCGCGUGUAUGAAGAAGGCCUUCGGGUUGUAAAGUACUUUCAGCGGGGAGGAAGGGAGUAAAGUUAAUACCUUUGCUCAUUGACGUUACCCGCAGAAGAAGCACCGGCUAACUCCGUGCCAGCAGCCGCGGUAAUACGGAGGGUGCAAGCGUUAAUCGGAAUUACUGGGCGUAAAGCGCACGCAGGCGGUUUGUUAAGUCAGAUGUGAAAUCCCCGGGCUCAACCUGGGAACUGCAUCUGAUACUGGCAAGCUUGAGUCUCGUAGAGGGGGGUAGAAUUCCAGGUGUAGCGGUGAAAUGCGUAGAGAUCUGGAGGAAUACCGGUGGCGAAGGCGGCCCCCUGGACGAAGACUGACGCUCAGGUGCGAAAGCGUGGGGAGCAAACAGGAUUAGAUACCCUGGUAGUCCACGCCGUAAACGAUGUCGACUUGGAGGUUGUGCCCUUGAGGCGUGGCUUCCGGAGCUAACGCGUUAAGUCGACCGCCUGGGGAGUACGGCCGCAAGGUUAAAACUCAAAUGAAUUGACGGGGGCCCGCACAAGCGGUGGAGCAUGUGGUUUAAUUCGAUGCAACGCGAAGAACCUUACCUGGUCUUGACAUCCACGGAAGUUUUCAGAGAUGAGAAUGUGCCUUCGGGAACCGUGAGACAGGUGCUGCAUGGCUGUCGUCAGCUCGUGUUGUGAAAUGUUGGGUUAAGUCCCGCAACGAGCGCAACCCUUAUCCUUUGUUGCCAGCGGUCCGGCCGGGAACUCAAAGGAGACUGCCAGUGAUAAACUGGAGGAAGGUGGGGAUGACGUCAAGUCAUCAUGGCCCUUACGACCAGGGCUACACACGUGCUACAAUGGCGCAUACAAAGAGAAGCGACCUCGCGAGAGCAAGCGGACCUCAUAAAGUGCGUCGUAGUCCGGAUUGGAGUCUGCAACUCGACUCCAUGAAGUCGGAAUCGCUAGUAAUCGUGGAUCAGAAUGCCACGGUGAAUACGUUCCCGGGCCUUGUACACACCGCCCGUCACACCAUGGGAGUGGGUUGCAAAAGAAGUAGGUAGCUUAACCUUCGGGAGGGCGCUUACCACUUUGUGAUUCAUGACUGGGGUGAAGUCGUAACAAGGUA
Molecule: ribosomal RNA, 1445 nt
Filed under: metagenome
Description: bacterial SSU rRNA
Rfam family: Bacterial small subunit ribosomal RNA
Source: RNAcentral